UGGGUAUAGCUCAGUGGUAGAGCACUUGCCAAGCAUACAGGAGGCCCUGGGUUCCAUCCCCAACACCUCAG
Molecule: transfer RNA, 71 nt
Filed under: Marmota monax (woodchuck)
Lineage: Eukaryota; Metazoa; Chordata; Mammalia; Rodentia; Sciuridae
Description: tRNA.Ala
Source: RNAcentral